Ostrea edulis (European flat oyster) is the source of this 633-nucleotide long non-coding RNA. RefSeq lists it as uncharacterized. The transcript has 2 exons. NCBI's taxonomy places the organism in Eukaryota, Metazoa, Mollusca, Bivalvia, Ostreida, Ostreidae. The record is from RefSeq and is a predicted model, not a curated record.
AUUAUCACCGACAGCGCGAGCAAAACGUGAUGCUUACACGUUUUCCAAAAGAAGAAGAAAUGAAAACUUUCAAAUUUGAUAGCAGUAUAAUGUCAAAAUCGGUGUCUUGGAUUUUGAUAUGUUUGAUUUUCAUGGAAUGUCAUGGAGUGAUAUCACAGUCUUGCAGUACAUUGUGUGGGAUAGAAAACAAAACUCUCCUCUUCCCAAACUGCUCAGAACCAUGUGGAGCAAGUAGAACUUCAGGUACUCUGUACGUAACUGUCGGAGUUCCCCUCGGUAUAGUGGUGAUAGCAGCUGUGACCCUGUCCGUUGUCUACGCUCUAUGUAUGAGGAAAAAGAGAAAUACAAAUGUUGGAGUGGUGAAGGAUGACCCUUAGUACAAAGCAGAGGAUCAUAGAAUGUUACACGAAAGUGUAUAUCUACGUCAUGAUAUUGCAGAUAUGUUCCGAGUUUGACGAUUUAUUCGAAUUCCCUACAGGAAUUAGGUUAUAUCGCAGAUAUUAAGCGUCACUUUAUAAGAUUCUGUUUGAAAUGGGGGUGCAUAUUGUCGGGAAACAAUGAAAGAAAAAUGAGUCCAUGAAAGUACGAGAUACUUAACCUAUCUAUGAAAGGAAAUAAAUAAUACAAAGCUUA